RNAcentral lists this ribosomal RNA (253 nucleotides) under uncultured bacterium. RNAcentral's name for it is "partial 16S ribosomal RNA". It matches the Rfam family "Bacterial small subunit ribosomal RNA", at positions 524 to 776 of the family's 1533-position model. The record is from RNAcentral.
GACGUAGGGGGCCAGCGUUGUUCGGAAUUACUGGGUGUAAAGGGUUUGUAGGCGGUGCGGCAAGUUGGGAGUGAAAUCUCUGGGCUUAACCCAGAGGCUGCUUCCAAAACUGCUGUGCUUGAGUGUGGGAGAGGCGCGUGGAAUUGCAGGUGUAGCGGUGAAAUGCGCAGAUAUCAGGAGGAACACCGGUGGCGAAGGCGGGUCUCUGGGCCGAUACUGACGCUGAGGAGCGAAAGCAUGGGGAGCGAACAGG